GCAAUAGUAGCUCAGAGCAAAGAGCACCAGCCUUGUAAGCUGGAGGCCGGGGACUGAUAACCCCCUACUGCC
Molecule: transfer RNA, 72 nt
Filed under: Uranoscopus japonicus
Lineage: Eukaryota; Metazoa; Chordata; Actinopteri; Uranoscopiformes; Uranoscopidae
Description: tRNA-Thr
Rfam family: tRNA
About the family: Transfer RNA (tRNA) molecules are approximately 80 nucleotides in length.
Source: RNAcentral